UGGCCAUUCAGAGAAGGACUACAGUUGGCGCAGAAAGAGUGUUCCAGUUCUGCCCUCUACAGUUCGGUAGAGGCGCGGUUACAGGGCUGUUCAGGAGUUACUGGAGAAGGACUACAGUUGGUGCAGAAAGAGUGUUCCAGUUCUGCCCUCUACAGUUCGGUGGAGGCGUGGUUGCAGGCCAGUUCAGGAGUUAUUGGAGAAGGACUACAGUUGGUGCAGAAAGAGUGUUCCAGUUCUGCCCUCUACAGUUCGGUAAAGGCGUGGUUACAGUGAUAACAUCAUGCCACGCCGGGGGAAGAGAUCUGAGGCUGCAAAGCAACGCUGGGCUAAGUUGGACCUUUCAGACCCUCGG
This is a long non-coding RNA of Anguilla anguilla (European eel), 352 nucleotides long. RefSeq lists it as uncharacterized. Lineage: Eukaryota; Metazoa; Chordata; Actinopteri; Anguilliformes; Anguillidae. The transcript is spliced from 4 exons. The record is from RefSeq and is a predicted model, not a curated record.